Molecule: ribosomal RNA, 326 nt
Filed under: Jaera albifrons
Lineage: Eukaryota; Metazoa; Arthropoda; Malacostraca; Isopoda; Janiridae
Description: partial large subunit ribosomal RNA
Rfam family: Eukaryotic large subunit ribosomal RNA
Source: RNAcentral
GCGGACCCGCAAUGCGGAAAUCCAAACUUUGUUGGGAUGCCMCGUAUGGKAAAAUAUCGYUUAAGAGUAACCUACCCUGUAAUCCAAACUCGUCUAGUGAGAAAUUAGACCAWAGAGGGUAAUAGCCCCGUAGGACAGGAAAAGUAAACRGGUWGGACUCGAAAUUGAUAUUUUCUCUUGAGUCAGGUUAUUUGAGAAUAUAGCCWAAAGAGGAGGUAUAUUCCUUCUAAAGCUAAAUAUAACUGUGAGACCGAUAGUGAACAAGUACCAUGAGGGAAAGUUGAAAAGAACUUUGAAGAGAGAGUUCAGUCAUAGCUGUUUCCUGA